Neolamprologus brichardi is the source of this 1412-nucleotide long non-coding RNA. RefSeq lists it as uncharacterized. The record is from RefSeq and is a predicted model, not a curated record. NCBI's taxonomy places the organism in Eukaryota, Metazoa, Chordata, Actinopteri, Cichliformes, Cichlidae.
GACAGAUGAAACAGUUUCAAGACAAUGGCAGGAAAAACAUGCUGAAGAUUGAAACAAACCUUGGCUGGAAAUAUUUGAAGGUAUCUAGCCAGUCCACAAUGAAAGCUUCGUUGCACCCCAUGAGUCUUCUGGCAGAAAUGAUGGCGCCUGUAUUCUUUGGUUUCCCUAAACAUCACACCCUGCCUGUUUAUACGAGGCUCUUCAAUUAAGUCUGCACCCAAAGAUUCAAUAAGAGAGGGGAUCCUGCCAGUCCAAAGUGAACUCCUGAUGGACACUGAAGUACUCCUGCAGAGCUUGUAUCUUCGACACCAUGCACAUUAGAAACUCCACUGAGUCCUUUCCUUCACCAAGGCAGGACCCAGUGACUCAUUACUGUUGAUAGGUCAGGGGCAGGUAAUAUUUAGUUUCAUGUUUAUUCAUUCCUCCAUGGAUUACCAGCCAUAUAUAUGGACACAUGCUGUAUUCUCAAGAUCUAUGCUGUUUUGUAGGAAUAGAGAAAAUGAUAUGUUUAGUCUGUUUUCAAAUGCUAUGUCAAAUUUUCUCAUUGUUUAUCAGUAAUAUUCACUACCUCGGUUAUAUAUGAGCAUCUUUAGAUUUUUCUAUAUUUAGUGGUUGCAAAUGUAAAAUGUACGGUAAACCAUUUAUGUUCCUCAUAUUGUACUGUAUUUUUAGCGGUAAAAUACCGGCAGCUGUGGUUGCCAGGAAUUUACCGUAAAAAAAAUUUACCGUUUAGUAAUAUCGAAUACAUGAGAUAACUCCCGUUGCCUCCAGGAGGGGAAAGGAUGAAAAGAGGCGAUUUUCCAGCUUCUUGCCUUCCCUAUGGUGUGAUCUAAGGUUGCAACCAACAACACAGCUCGUAGGAAGCAUAGCUGAGACUUCCGUGUGCUUUGUUUGGCCUGGUGUCAUGGCGGGAGGGGCCGUGGGCCGUGACAGGACGCUCCUCCGCCCUAUAGUAGACAGAGCGUGAGGGAGUGUAAGUUGGGUGAUUAAAGUGGUUGGGUCCCAUUUUGUUGUAUGCAAGAAAGAAGUAGGUAGGUUUCCAUGUGUAAUUAGUGUGUAAGAAUAUUGCAGAAGAAGCUUAAUGUGUACUUUGUAAACAGGAUGAGAAAAAAAGCUGGAUGAAGAAGAAAAGAUAAAUGUCCUUUUUUUCAAGCGUUCUCUCGGCCGGCCGUUUCAGUGCCACGGCCCUCGCUUGGGGGGCAGGGAGACGCGCACUCGCGUUUCCUUUUUGCUUUUUCCUGCUCUUGCCAAGUCCUCCGCCCGCUCUACAUCUCUCUUAUUACCUUUUAUUACCCGAAGAAAAUCACAAUCACGCUUACACUCAUGCCUUUGCCUUUCACCACUUCAAAACUGCGCCUACUUCAAUAUUACCUUCAUUCGCUCUCUUUGCUUUUCGCCUUCCUCACUACACU